RNAcentral lists this ribosomal RNA (253 nucleotides) under uncultured bacterium. RNAcentral describes it as "partial 16S ribosomal RNA". It matches the Rfam family "Bacterial small subunit ribosomal RNA", at positions 524 to 776 of the family's 1533-position model. The record is from RNAcentral.
UACGAGUGGCCCUAGCGUUAAUCGGGAUCACUGGGCUUAAAGCGUGCGCAGGCGGGUCGGCAGGCGUCUUGUGAAAUCCCUCGGCUCAACCGGGGAACUGCAGGGCGAACCGCCGACCUCGAGGAAGGUAGGGGCCAGCGGAACUAUGGGUGGAGCGGUGAAAUGCGUAGAUAUCCAUGGGAACGCCAAUGGCGAAGGCAGCUGGCUGGGCCUUUCCUGACGCUCAGGCACGAAAGCGUGGGGAGCAAACAGG